GUCUCUUUAGCUUAAUGGUAGAGCGCGUGUUUUCUAAACUCGUGAUGGGGGUUCGAUUCCCUCAAGAGAUU
This 71-nucleotide transfer RNA is filed under the name Pseudomonadota bacterium. RNAcentral's name for it is "Proteobacteria bacterium (activated sludge metagenome) tRNA-Arg". It matches the Rfam family "tRNA". From Rfam's summary of the family: Transfer RNA (tRNA) molecules are approximately 80 nucleotides in length. Lineage: Bacteria; Pseudomonadati; Pseudomonadota. The record is from RNAcentral.